CACAUGAAUUUUACUAAUUUCUUCUAGCUCUAUAAAAUAAUCUUUGGUACUUUAAUUGGUAUGGCACUGAAUAAGUAGAUUAAUUUAGGAUUAUCAUUUUUAUUAUAUUGGCUUAGCCAAUCCAUGUUCAACUAAUAUUUAUCCAAUUUUUUAAUAUCUGACUUCAGUUUUGUGAAAAGCAUUUUGUAAUUGUAUUCAUAUAGUUCCUGGGUUUAUCUUGGUAGCUAGACACUCAAGUAUUUUAUAUUAUGUACAGUUAAUUUAAAUGAAAUUUCUUUUUCUAUCUCUUGCUGCUGGGCUUUGUUGAUAAAAUAAAGAAAUGCUAAUGGCUUAUUGGGGUAUUUUAUAUCCUGCAAAUUUGCUAAAAUUGUUAAUUAUUUCAACUAGUUUUUUAGUUGUAUCUUUUAGAUUCUGUAUGUAUAUCAUCAUAUCAUCUGCAAAGUGAUAGUUUCAUUUCUUCAAUGCCUAUUGUAAUUCCUUAAAUUCCUUUUUCUUCUCUCAUUACUAUAGCUAGAUUUCCUAAUUCAGUAUUGAAUAAUGAUGGUGAUAUGGGGCAUCUUUGCUUCACCCUUGAUCUUAUUUGGAAUGUAACUACUAAAAUCAUGAUUUUAGAGGACUGAUGAGGAAGCAGGCUACCCAUCUUCUGACAGAGACGCGAUGGACUCUAAAUGAGAAAUACAUUUUUGGAAACACAUAGUGUAUCCUUAUCGUACCUCAGCUGGAAGUACAGGAAUACUCACUGGCCCAAUCACAUACUGAUAACUUUGACCUGCUCCAUUUCCAAUUUGGACCGAUUUUCCCUUCCUUGGGCAACUUGGUGUUCUCUGUUGCCUAGAGUUCACCAUGUUAAUGCCAAACAGUGCAAUUACUCGACUUAUCGGGCUUACUGUAGCUGUGAACUCCCAAGCUUAAGAGAUCCAUCAGCCUCUGCCUCUCAGGAAGACGGAUUACAGGCAUAUGCCAUCACAACAAGCUUCUUUGUGAUUUUGUAAAAGUAAAACAUAAAAAUUAACCUAGUUCAUUUUUGCUUUUGAAUCCUGUGCAAUCAUUUUCCACAUCUUUCCAUAAACCAUCAACAGAGCAUUGAGCAUCCACAUAACUCAUAAAAAUCCUUCUUCUGGUUCCUUUACUAUUUGUGAAUUUCAGUGCAGUAUUCGGUUAGUCCAUCUAUCAUCUGUUAUUCAUCACUUUGAAUAUACAAGCAACCUCCCUCACUUUCCAGUCAUGCAUCCAUUAUGCCUUUUACAAAGAUAAAAUCUUGCACACAAAUCACCACAGGUAAUCUGGUGGCAAUAUGUACACCCAUUAUGAAUUUUUGGCACCCUUUGAAACUAUGAUUCUUAUGAGAUGUUAUUGUUGGUUUUUUUUAAUUUAUUUACAACCAUAUAGCAUCAUAGGCAUAAUGUUGAUGCUAAAAGCUGUGUUCCUAUAGCAGGAAUUUGCUUGAGACCAGGGAAAAGACAGAAAGGAUUUUCAUUUUUUUUAAUUUU
This 1490-nucleotide long non-coding RNA is filed under the name Monodelphis domestica (gray short-tailed opossum). RNAcentral's name for it is "lncRNA (ENSMODG00000041169.1)". Lineage: Eukaryota; Metazoa; Chordata; Mammalia; Didelphimorphia; Didelphidae. The record is from RNAcentral.